RNAcentral lists this ribosomal RNA (250 nucleotides) under uncultured prokaryote. RNAcentral's name for it is "partial 16S ribosomal RNA". It matches the Rfam family "Bacterial small subunit ribosomal RNA", at positions 524 to 773 of the family's 1533-position model. The record is from RNAcentral.
UACGUAGGAAGCAAGCGUUAUCCGGAUUUACUGGGCGUAAAGAGAGCGUAGGUGGCUCAUUAAGUCGGUUGUGAAAUCUCCCAGCUUAACUGGGAGGGUGCGUCCGAUACUGGCGGGCUAGAGUGCAGCAGGAGAAGAUGGAAUUCCCGGUGUAGUGGUGAAAUGCGUAGAUAUCGGGAGGAACACCAGUGGCGAAGGCGGUCUUCUAGGCUGUGUCUGACACUGAGGCUCGAAGGUGUGGGGAGCGAAC